CCUACGGGCGGCAGCAGUGAGGAAUAUUGGUCAAUGGACGCAAGUCUGAACCAGCCAUGCCGCGUGCAGGAAGACGGCUCUAUGAGUUGUAAACUGCUUUUGUACGAGGGUAAACGCAGAUACGCGUAUCUGUCUGAAAGUAUCUUACGAAUAAGGAUCGGCUAACUCCGUGCCAGCAGCCGCGGUAAUACGGAGGAUUCAAGCGUUCUCCGGAUUUAUUGGGUUUAAAGGGUGCGUAGGCGGUCGGAUAAGUUAGAGGUGAAAUCCCGAGGCUCAACUUCGGAAUUGCCUCUGAUACUGUUAGGCUAGAGAGUAGUUGCGGUAGGCGGAAUGUAUGGUGUAGCGGUGAAAUGCUUAGAGAUCAUACAGAACACCGAUUGCGAAGGCAGCUUACCAAGCUACGUCUGACGUUGAGGCACGAAAGCGUGGGGAGCAAACAGGAUUAGAUACCCCGGUAGUC
This 460-nucleotide ribosomal RNA is filed under the name uncultured bacterium. RNAcentral describes it as "partial 16S ribosomal RNA". It matches the Rfam family "Bacterial small subunit ribosomal RNA", at positions 338 to 795 of the family's 1533-position model. The record is from RNAcentral.